This 662-nucleotide ribosomal RNA is filed under the name uncultured Bacteroidales bacterium. Its description in RNAcentral is "bacterial SSU rRNA". It matches the Rfam family "Bacterial small subunit ribosomal RNA", at positions 66 to 723 of the family's 1533-position model. Lineage: Bacteria; Pseudomonadati; Bacteroidota; Bacteroidia; Bacteroidales. The record is from RNAcentral.
GGGGCAUCAUGAGGUAGCAAUACCUUGAUGGCGACCGGCGCACGGGUGAGUAACGCGUAUGCAACCUGCCCGAUACCGGGGUAUAGCCCAUGGAAACGUGGAUUAACACCCCAUAGUACUUUUAUCCUGCAUGGGAUGUGAGUUAAAUGUUCAAGGUAUCGGAUGGGCAUGCGUCCUAUUAGUUAGUUGGCGGGGUAACAGCCCACCAAGACGAUGAUAGGUAGGGGUUCUGAGAGGAAGGUCCCCCACAUUGGAACUGAGACACGGUCCAAACUCCUACGGGAGGCAGCAGUGAGGAAUAUUGGUCAAUGGACGUAAGUCUGAACCAGCCAAGUCGCGUGAGGGAAGACUGCCCUAUGGGUUGUAAACCUCUUUUAUAAGGGAAGAAUAAGUUCUACGUGUAGAAUGAUGCCUGUACCUUAUGAAUAAGCAUCGGCUAACUCCGUGCCAGCAGCCGCGGUAAUACGGAGGAUGCGAGCGUUAUCCGGAUUUAUUGGGUUUAAAGGGUGCGUAGGCGGUUUAUUAAGUUAGUGGUUAAAUAUUUGAGCUAAACUCAAUUGUGCCAUUAAUACUGGUAAACUGGAGUACAGACGAGGUAGGCGGAAUAAGUUAAGUAGCGGUGAAAUGCAUAGAUAUAACUUAGAACUCCGAUAGCGAAGGCA